UUUCUUUUUCUUUUGAUUUAUUUGGUUUUUGCUCUGUUUUUCUUUUUUUGGAGUGGUUCUGUGGCCUUGUCACUUGGGAAAUCAUCUUCAAUUCUUCUCCCAAGUGGCUCAUCAUCCUUGAAUCUUUCCCAAGGUCAUGCCAUUCCCAUCCUAUCCCAAAUCCCAAUAUUCUUUUCUUGGGGAAAAUUCCUUUUUCAUUAAAGGAAUAACCUCAAUUGCCCUAGGUUGUGAAGCAACCUAUAUUUCUGCCCAUCCAAAAAUUCCCAUAUAAUUCUUAAAAUUCCUUUGGGUCAUAUGUUCCUCAAAUAUGCCCAAACGUUCCAGUCCUAGCUCAAAAAUAAUUCCCCAAUAAUUAUUCUUCUAUUCUGCCCUAAAUGGCACUUUGUGAAGGAAGUGUCAUUUAUAUUUUCCUAGUUGCUCCCAAACUCCUUGGGCAUUCUUUUCUGUCCAAAUAAUUGCCUCAUGCACAAGUUCAACUUUAUUUGCCUAGCCAAUCUUCCUCAGUGAAUUUUGAAAGUUUCUGUCAGAUAGAAGGCUUUGUGAAGGAAGUACUAGCUAGGAGUAUCCAAAUGAGUUAAACUUUUUCACACUCCUUCAUGUGCUCAUAUUAACCCCCUCCACCCAUUUUUAGCCUCAUCCAAUCAUCUAUGUGAGCACAGGAGUAAAUCUUUGAUUCUGGCAAUAUUUUCAAGUUGUGAAGCAAGUGCAUUUUAUAUUGCUUCAAAAAUCCUGAUAAAUUACCCGAUCAUCCUCCUACCCAUAAAACAUCUCUCCACCCAAUUUGGCAUCAUUUAAAUGAGCCAUUUAAUCACCAAAAUUAUUCCAAGUUUCUGGACAGAAAUGAUGUUUGUGAAGCAAGUACCAUUUUGGUUUGUCCAUUUGGUAUGAGCUUUUUACAGCAUCUUUAUAUGUCCAUAUCAUGAGGAUUUUACAAGUUGCAUCCCAUUCCAUAACACCAUGUGAGUGCAUCAUCCAAAUCUUGAUUCUGGACCAAUUAUGGGGUUACACAACAACUAUAUUAGUUUGUGCUCUAUUAUGCUCCAAAACCUCUAGGAUCAUAAUCCUUCCGUAGUUAAUCAUCCCAGACAACACCAUUUGGACCAAUCAUUUUCCUGUUGAUCAGCAGUGCUCUGCCAAGUUUGAUGCAGUAAACUUUAGAGCUUAGUUACCAUUUAACCAUAGCACCCCAGAUCAAGCCAUGGAAUCAUCAAUGCUCCAUUUUGGAAGGACAUCAGCUAGACAACAUUUUGGGUGUUGUAGGGCAAUGAAUGCCCCGGUUCGCGUGGUGACUAUGACGUUGGCGUGCCUGUGCACGCGCUCUGUGCGCAGUGGCCGUGUCCAGGGCGUCGUUUCUGCUUCGUCCGCUUUCCCCUCGUCGUCUUAGCGCGCGUGAGCAUGUCCAUUGUCUUCCUCUCGUCGUCGCCAUUCCCCUGGACCCCUCUCCCUCUCCGUCCGCUUUCCCCUCGUCGUCUUAGCGCGUGUGAGCAUGUCCAAUGUCAAGUUGUGAAGCAAGUCCAUUUUAUAUUGCUUAGUAGUUGCUGUCGUAUCAUGGUAGUUGUUAAUUAAUUAACCUAUUAAUGCUAUGUUAUUGUCUUGGCUUGAUGUUUAUGGUUGUUGUGAGCUUGCAAGUACAUUCAAUGUACUGACCUGGCGUGUCAUGCCAGAUUGCAGGUGAUGCUAUGAUUGCUUGAUUGUUUGUCGAGGUGUCCGUUCAUGCGAGCUAGAUCGUGUCCCAGCCAGAGUCCCUGCGGAGUGGAGUUCACCAUCUUCGUCGUUGUUCCGCUGCUAGAAGUAUUCUGCUGCUACUAGUUGUUCCGCUGCUAGCAUAGAGCAAGUGUAGUAUCGCAGGCGUAGUGUCGCCAUGCUGAUGUGCUUCUUUGUAACAUCAGACCCUUGUAUUAUUAUUCUUGUAAUAAGAGCUGAUUUGUUCUAUGUCAAGCAGUGUCGUAUUCCAGAGACUUUUCCUUGAUCUCUGGGCUGGAAUACGGGGCGUUCCGGUUUCUCUGAGCUGGGGUGCCACAGGCUUGGUAUCAGAGCAGGUCUGGCUGUAGGACGCCCUAGUCAGCGCGAGCGGUAGAAACCGGUAGUAUAGGCUCUACCUUGUUUGUUACAUUUGGUUGCUGCAUUUGUUUGUUGCAUAGCAUGCAUAUAGCCUUAUUAUUUUGCUACUGACGGUUUAUCUGGUGAGUGUAGCUAGCAUCGGUCCGGAUCCACUAUAGCUCAACCUUUGCAUUUCUUUAGUUUUAUUUUCUUGCUCGUUCUUCGGUGUUUGGUGUCAUUUCUGUCCCAGCGGAGUGAUGCCAAGUGAUCCGACACUGUUUGCAGAAAUGGUGCUCCGGUAUCGCGCCGAUUUCUUUCCUUUAGCCCCAUUUUGUUUCGGUGGUAGACAUGCUUCUAUCCCGGAUCGUCCUUUUAUCUUGUCGUGUUGGCAACCCUUAAUGGUCUCAGUCAUCAUAAAAAGGGCAAUGUCAGCAGACUCAGUUUUUCCCCGCUAUCCUUAUUUCUUAGAUGAGUACGGAUAUUUUCCGUCCGCUUGAUAAUAAUGUGGUCGCGACAUUCAUGUCCUGCUACAUGGUUACCAAGUACGUACUCGCCUCCGAGCUAGUCCAGGUUGCUACCUGGCUAAGCUAGCACUUGGUGUAGCGCUGUUUACACCAAUUCUUCCACACAUUUAUUCAUCCUCGUGCACAUCGUCACAGCAUGCUAGAUCGUAGAACCGGAGAUCCCGCGAAAUUUGUGUGCUUAAGUAGGCAUGCAUAUUGUGUGACUAGCAGUAAAAUGUGACAUUGAUUGUGUGUGAAGUGAUUGUUGUUGUGUGCUUUUGUUUAGUUGAGUUUUCUUUUGCUUCUUUUUUUUCUGGGCCCCGGUGUUACAUUAUUUCCCCCCUAUAAAGAGUUGCUCAUCAACCAACACCGGACUCAAAGAAGCAACAAGGAGUUUAAAAAUUUGGAAACUCAGCUAAACAGAAUGGAAUUCUCAGUCGUCUGCAGUAAAAUGGGAAAUAUCUGAUCUUGAGGCUGAUAAUCAAUUGUGCAUCAGUGUGCACUCCUCUCGUCAGUACUGAUAAAUCAAGUCCCCAUCAGUACCAAAUCCUCACAAUAGUAAUGAUCAAGUCAGCAGCAAGACAAGUCAGGUACAAGCCCAACGGUAUAUUUUCAGACAGAGGUAUGGAUCAUAUACAAAGUUUUGGCUCAACAAUGCAUAAUGCUUGAAAUAUGUUAUCAUCUGAAAUAAAGUCAGAAUGUGACAUGCUCGAGGAAGACAGUCAAACCAUUUUUCUCAUGCAAAUAAUCAGCCUCAGAAUAUUAUGGGCGUGUGUAUGGAUUUCAGUCUGCAUAUCAGUAUGAAGUUUUGGAUAUAAGAAACCCAGUAUUAUUCCACACGCUAUUGGAAGAAAUUUAUGAGGCAAGGCUCCUCAAUUUUUCCUCAGCAUGAUAUGUGAACAAUUUCCGGCCCACAAUACCCGGUCUUUCUCAAUAAGAUACCUCGGUAAAAGCUUCUGGCAGACGGAAAUGAAUUUUCUCAACAAGCAAAACCGAGGAUAAGCUUCUCAAGUACGGAACUCAGGUUUCUCCAGCACAAUAAUCCGACCAAGCUUCAUGUGUAAGCUAUCGAGAUUUCUUGUGCACGCUACCUAGACCAAAAGCCUCGAGCAGAAUCUAAGAGUCUUCCUCAGCAAGCUACUCGGAUGGCUUCCCUCGUAAGCCACCCAGUCCGCGCCAGUAGCACACUAUGUACCGUCCUCAGAGAUUAUAUGAUGAGUUGGCAGUAUAUGGCAGUACAUCUCAAGGAUCAUAUUUGCAAUAAUUUUGUCAGAGGUAUAAUUCAGUCAAAGCAUAUGCCUGCCGCAAUAAUCGGGUAUUCAGUUGCAUACGAUUAUUAUACAUAUGGUAAGCAUGUAUCCGCGGUCAGAUCAGUCACUCAUACGGGAUAUGGCACUGAUCCAGCAGAUAUACCUAAGAAAGGUACGGACCCAACAACCUCAUAAGUCAUGCAAAUGAAGAUAAGCAGAGAUACAUCUCAUGAAUUACAAGGAUCGACAAGAUCUGGGGAUGACAUCACAGAAUCCACAGUCUUGACCAUGGUCAUCAAGGUCAUUAUUCCCACACCAGACAAGGUGAUAUCAUGAAACCUUGUCACCUUCUGGUAUGAUUGGCCUCAGCAAUGAGCUCCGUACAACUACAAACCCCGAGUAUAUGUCAUAUAUGUGCGGACACAGGUCAGAAAAACAAGCACAAGGAAUAAUGUCAAAAAUAUUAAUCACAGUCAUGGUCAUACAAAGAAUCAAGGACAUGUGUGGCCAAGUUAUUUCAGUAAGGUAUCCUCACAAAGAAAAUCAUGAUUGUUAAAGGGUGAGACUGACAACAAAGGUAGGAUGAUUUUUGCAUGAACAUCAGGGUCCGGAUACCCAAAUCAGUUGGAGGCCGUAAUUCCAUAUGGAGCCACAAAGGCAUACCCUCAGAGGAUUGCUCUGUUCUACAAGGAUUUCAUAUCCCGCUGACCCGCUUGAAAUGGUUAGUGUGGAAUAUCCAAGUCUGUUCUGUCAGAUCCAAGAUUUCCUUUUGUAAACUCUGCAGUUUGACCUCAGCGGCAGUGUUACAGCAUCUCAUAGCUUCAUUUCCACACCUGGGUAUACCGACAACAUGGGUAAAUUAAAAGCCGAACCAUCAGCUCAGAUCAGGUAUAUUCACUGGCGGAACCAUGUACACGGACAACAUGUCAAGAAAAUUAUUUUCCCGCCAGCACCCUGCCAGGGCAGUCUCAAGGUAUUAAUAUUCGAUGGUAUGACACAGCUGUAACUCCAUACCCCGUUAUAUCGCUCACGACAGAAGGCAGUCGAAUCUUGGGUACAGACCCCAUGCUCGAGUCAAAGGGGUAAAUCUAGAUAAAUCAGUACCACUUGCGAGCAGUCAGAUCCUGUCAGAAAAUGGCCAUGAUUCUCAGCAUUUAUGGAAUCAAGAAGACAUGCAUUUGUUUGAGUAACCCGGUAGCAGAAGUAAAAAGUUUUCAUGGAAAAGGAAAUUUAUGAUAAGAUCCAUUGGAUAUCACUGCAUAUAUGAGAAAAUUUACGUGAGCAAAAGGAAGUGGUAUAUGAGCAAAAACCCGUCAGAAAUUGGGGAAAAGUGAAGCAGCCAACCCCAGAGCAAGGUAAGUUGAUCAUCUGAAAUUCUUGGGGGAACAAUAAAUAAAGGAAAAAGGAUACCCGAGUUGGAAACGGUAUCCUCAAGUGAUACUUGUUCCCAGAGCAACUAAAUCUCGAGGACGAGAUUUCUUUAAGGGGGUAAGAGUUGUAACAGCCUGGAUUUUGGCCCUUUCCUUUUUCUUUUGAUUUAUUUGGUUUUUGCUCUGUUUUUCUUUUUUUUUGAGUGGUUCUGUGGCCUUGUCACUUGGGAAAUCAUCUUCAAUUCUUCUCCCAAGUGGCUCAUCAUCCUCGAAUCUUUCCCAAGGUCAUGCCAUUCCCAUCCUAGCCCAAAUCCCAAUAUUGUUUUCUUGGGGAAAAUUCCUUUUUCAUUAAAGGAAUAACCUCAAUUGACCUAGAUUGUGAAGCAACCUAUAUUUCUGCCCAUCCAAAAAUUCCCAUAUAAUUCUUAAAAUUCCUUUGGGUCAUAUGUUCCUCAAAUAUGCCCAAACUUUCCUGUCCUAGCUCAAAAAUAAUUCCCCAAUAAUUAUUCUUCUAUUUUGCCCUAAAUGGCACUUUGUGAAGGAAGUGUCAUUUAUAUUUUCCUAGUUGCUCCCAAACUCAUUGGGCAUUCUUUUAUGUCCAAAU
Molecule: long non-coding RNA, 5767 nt
Filed under: Triticum aestivum (bread wheat)
Lineage: Eukaryota; Viridiplantae; Streptophyta; Magnoliopsida; Poales; Poaceae
Description: long non-coding RNA (TAES_LNC024518)
Source: RNAcentral